CCUACGGGGUGCAGCAGUGAGGAAUAUUGCACAAUGGGGGAAACCCUGAUGCAGCGACGCCGCGUGAGUGAAGAAGGAAUUCGUUAUGUAAAGCUCUAUCAGCAGGGAAGAAAAUGUCAGUACCUGAGUAAGACUCCCCGUCUAACUACGUUCCAGCUGCGCCGGUAAUACGAAGGGGGCAGGCGUUAUCCGGAUUUACUGGGUGUAAAGGGAGCGUAGACGGCAGUACGAGUGUGGAGUGAAAGGCGGGGGCUCAACCCCCGAACUGCUCUGGAAACUGUACGGCUAGAGUGCAGGAGAGGUAAGCGGAAUGUCUAGUGUAGCGGUGAAAUGCGUAGAUAUUAGGAGGAACACCAGUGGCGAAGGCGGCUUACUGGACUGUAACUGACGUUGAGGCUCGAAAGCGUGGGGAGCAAACAGGAUUAGAUACCCUUGUAGUC
RNAcentral lists this ribosomal RNA (440 nucleotides) under uncultured bacterium. RNAcentral's name for it is "partial 16S ribosomal RNA". It matches the Rfam family "Bacterial small subunit ribosomal RNA", at positions 338 to 795 of the family's 1533-position model. The record is from RNAcentral.